Molecule: ribosomal RNA, 253 nt
Filed under: uncultured bacterium
Lineage: Bacteria
Description: partial 16S ribosomal RNA
Rfam family: Bacterial small subunit ribosomal RNA
Source: RNAcentral
GACGAGCCAUACGAACGUUAUUCGGAAUUACUGGGCUUAAAGGGUGCGUAGGCUGCGCGGAAAGUUGGGUGUGAAAUCCCUCGGCUCAACCGAGGAAGUGCGCCCGAAACUGCAGAGCUUGAGUACCGGAGAGGAUGGCGGAAUUCCCCAAGUAGAGGUGAAAUUCGUAGAUAUGGGGAGGAACACCGGUGGCGAAGGCGGCCAUCUGGACGGAUACUGACGCUGAGACGCGAAAGCGUGGGUAGCAAACAGG